GUCUUAGUUCCUCCUCUCUUUCUGCCAGGAACCCGCCUCGGUCCUCGGGGCCCUCCGCCCUCUGGGCCCCGCGCCUCCGUUCGGGCGGCCUCCGUCCGUUGCCCGCGAGGUCGGCCCCGGAGGCAGCCUCCCCGGCCUCCAGUGGACGCGGCCGCGAGCUUUCCUCCUGGCUGCCUGCGCAGUCGCGUUUUGUGCACCAGAGCCUAUGAAUUUUGAAGAUGAAUGAAGGUCAUGAUAAAUGUUUUCCAAAAACUUGAGAUAGAGGAUGGCUUUGAAAAAACCACUAGGAGCACAACAACAUGUAUAAGUUUAUAGGUAGCUGCAGAUGAAUGUCAAAGUCCUUAGCUGUGCUGUUGAAAAUUCCUUCAUUGCCUCAAGUAAUUAUGAUUUAUGAAGCAACUACAUCUACUUAUAAUUCACAGGUUACCACAUUUUGGAAGGAAAAAAUGAAGAAUUGGUCAAGACGACAUGAAAUGAUGAAAAUUAGUAUUUUAUUUAACAUUGAUCACCUCACAGUAAAUUAUAUAGGAAAAUAAAUGUUUGACUACUUUUGAUUGCUGGGCAAUAAAGUCUUUAAAACAUAUCAACUCUUGAAACAGCUAUUCUCAUAGUCACUAGUCAGACUUGUUUUUUUUUGUUUUUGUUUUUGUUUUGUUUUGUUUUGUUUUUUUUGGAGGAAGAUUAGCCCUCAGCUAACUACUGCCAGUCCUCCUCUUUUUGCUGAGGAAGCCUGGCUCUGAGCUAAGAUCCGUGCCCGUCUUCCUCUAGUUUAUACGUGGGAGGCCUACCACAGCAUGGCUGCCAAGCAGUGCCAUGUCCGCACCCGGGAUCCGAACCAGCGAACCCCGGGCCGCCAAGAAGCGGAACGUGCGAACUUAACCGCUGCGCCACCGGGCCGGCCCCUCAGACUUGUUUUUUAACAUACUUUAGGGGUAGUAUGUUCUUCACAAUAACUAGGGUUUUUGUGGAUAAUAAGUCUCUGAGGUGGCAGGCAGCUGGGGAGAAAUUUCUAGUACCUCCAGUUCUCAUACCCUUUCUUGCCUACCUUAGCGGAUUCCUGGAGAGGCCCUAAUCACUGCAUAUUCACUAUGUGGACUUCCCCUUUAGAACCUGCUAUUGGACCUGAAAAACUCCUAAACUCCUUAAUGAAUUGCCCUUUACAAGUCAAGGUUUCACCUGUGACCUACAGAUUUUUUGUAAAUUUAAAAUUUUUAUUAAUUUGCUUUCACCUUUGUGAACCAAAUAAUCCUAAUCCUAGUACAAAUAAUAACAACAUGCUAUAUUAAGGAAGAUGGUGACUGGACAGUCUAGUCUGUCCAGGAAUGGAGAAUUUAUAAGAAUUCUAAAACUGAGCUGAAUUCUUACCUCAGAGAAGACUUAGCUAAAUCUUCCUUUUUCCCUGUUGAGGCCUUGCUUUUAUCAGGGUUCUAAUUUCAGUAUGUUAAACCACAGUAUAAAAUGUGUACAGUGACAUCUCUGUAGUCACUUCCCAUUAGAGGCAACAUUUGAAAACCAUUUCCCUGCAGUGUUUGAUAUUGGUCCUCCUGUUUCAAAAGAACCUUAACACUUCACAAUUGUAAAAUGGAGGCCAUUUUAUGGAUCCUAGUUUUAUAAAAUAGAAAUGUUUUCCCUUCAUCCCAUAGAGAACCAGAAAAAUAAUAUAUAAGAAGGCAUAAAAUAAAGUCUUAACUACAGAAUUGUAAUAUGUAAAUAUUUUGUUUUUAAAAACUAGUUUUGCCUUCUGAAAGCUAACGCUAUAGUCUGGCACUAGUGGAUAUUCAAUAAAUAUUGUUGAGUGAA
This is a non-coding RNA of Equus caballus (horse), 1800 nucleotides long. The record is from RefSeq and is a predicted model, not a curated record. NCBI's taxonomy places the organism in Eukaryota, Metazoa, Chordata, Mammalia, Perissodactyla, Equidae.